GGCCCCGUAGCUUAGCCUGGUGGAGCAUUCGACUGAUAAUCGAAAGGUCCCGUGUUCAAAUCACGGCGGGGCCA
Molecule: transfer RNA, 74 nt
Filed under: Candidatus Woesearchaeota archaeon
Lineage: Archaea; Nanobdellati; Candidatus Woesearchaeota
Description: tRNA-Ile
Rfam family: tRNA
About the family: Transfer RNA (tRNA) molecules are approximately 80 nucleotides in length. Their secondary structure includes four short double-helical elements and three loops (D, anti-codon, and T loops).
Source: RNAcentral